This 261-nucleotide ribosomal RNA is filed under the name uncultured archaeon. RNAcentral's name for it is "partial 16S ribosomal RNA". It matches the Rfam family "Archaeal small subunit ribosomal RNA", at positions 748 to 1009 of the family's 1478-position model. The record is from RNAcentral.
CAGCCCUAAACGAUGCGCGUUAGGUGUAUCGGUGACCACGAGUCACCGAGGUGCCGAAGGGAAACCGUGAAACGUGCCGCCUGGGAAGUACGGUCGCAAGGCUGAAACUUAAAGGAAUUGGCGGGGGAGCACCACAACGCGUGGAGCCUGCGGUUUAAUUGGACUCAACGCCGGGAAGCUCACCGGAUAAGACAGCGGAAUGAUUGCCGGGCUGAAGACCCUGCAUGACCAGCUGAGAGGAGGUGCAUGGCGUAGUCGUGU